ACGGGAGGCAGCAGUGAGGAAUAUUGGUCAAUGGGCGAGAGCCUGAACCAGCCAAGUAGCGUGCAGGAUGACGGCCCUAUGGGUUGUAAACUGCUUUUAUGCGGGGAUAAACGAGGGGACGUGUCCCUUUUUGCAGGUACCGCAUGAAUAAGGACCGGCUAAUUCCGUGCCAGCAGCCGCGGUAAUACGGAAGGUCCGGGCGUUAUCCGGAUUUAUUGGGUUUAAAGGGAGCGUAGGCCGGACUUUAAGCGUGUUGUGAAAUGUAGUCGCUCAACGGGUGCACUGCAGCGCGAACUGGAGUCCUUGAGUGCGCGGGAAGUUGGCGGAAUUUGUGGUGUAGCGGUGAAAUGCUUAGAUAUGACGAAGAACUCCGAUUGCGAAGGCAGCUCGCUGGGCCGCAACUGACGCUGAAGCUCGAAGGUGCGGGUAUCAAACAGGAUUAGAUACCCUGGUA
RNAcentral lists this ribosomal RNA (454 nucleotides) under uncultured Prevotella sp. RNAcentral's name for it is "partial 16S ribosomal RNA". It matches the Rfam family "Bacterial small subunit ribosomal RNA", at positions 341 to 792 of the family's 1533-position model. Lineage: Bacteria; Pseudomonadati; Bacteroidota; Bacteroidia; Bacteroidales; Prevotellaceae. The record is from RNAcentral.